RNAcentral lists this long non-coding RNA (599 nucleotides) under Homo sapiens (human). Its description in RNAcentral is "HSALNT0362497". The record is from RNAcentral. Lineage: Eukaryota; Metazoa; Chordata; Mammalia; Primates; Hominidae.
GAGUCAGAAGAGAGCGUUAGUCAUAGGGCUACUGAAACACAAGGUGACGAGAACUAUUAGGCAAUUGAGUGCAUUCCCUGCAGGGCUGCUCCCACUUCUAUCUGACUUGGGUCUAGAUGACUCAAGUGAUUCCCGAGGGGAAAAUAAUCUAUGUGGAACAGCUGUCAUGAGCAGGCCUUCUGCUGCUCUUCAGCCUCAAUUUCAGCCUGCUACUUCCCGUGACAUCAUUCAGUGAUUCCUCCCUUUAAGGGGACAGUUUUCUCUUGUAUUACAGCUGUCUGCCUACGGAAGGCUCCAGAGUCCCUGACGCAUAUUUAUAUCUCCACUUCACUGAAGUCACAAGGAACAAACACACACCUGCCAUUUCCCAAAUCUCAUAAAACAUAUAAAUGGAUGAGACCAAAGAGAGGCAUGAGAUUCCAUUCUUAUGGUUCACAGGAAGCACCUGGCACACAGUAACUAUUAUUAAUUUCUGCACUGGAGGCAUCAGGAAAGCCUUCACGCUAUAGGGGGCCCUUUUAAGUUAAGAAGUUGGAGAGCAAGCCUCGGGGAAAGCAAAGAGAUAACUUAGUAGAAUGGAGCAACCAUACGGGAACAGU